ACAGUAUUUGGUAUCUGCGCUCUGCUGAAGCCAGUUACCUUCGGAAAAAGAGUUGGUAGCUCUUGAUCCGGCAAACAAACCACCGUUGGUAGCGGUGGUUUUUUUGUU
RNAcentral lists this non-coding RNA (108 nucleotides) under Plasmid ColE1. The record is from RNAcentral.